UUGAACUGAAGAGUUUGAUCCUGGCUCAGAUUGAACGCUGGCGGCAUGCCUUACACAUGCAAGUCGAACGGCAGCACGGGGAGGGGCAACCCUCCCUGGUGGCGAGUGGCGAACGGGUGAGUAAUGCAUCGGAACGUGUCCUCUUGUGGGGGAUAACCAGUCGAAAGGCUGGCUAAUACCGCAUGAGCCUGAGAGGGGAAAGCGGGGGAUUCGAAAGAACCUCGCGCGAGUGGAGCGGCCGAUGGCCGAUUAGCUAGUUGGUGGGGUAAAGGCCCACCAAGGCGACGAUCGGUAGCUGGUCUGAGAGGAUGAUCAGCCACACUGGGACUGAGACACGGCCCAGACUCCUACGGGAGGCAGCAGUGGGGA
Molecule: ribosomal RNA, 369 nt
Filed under: Betaproteobacteria bacterium SG8_39
Lineage: Bacteria; Pseudomonadati; Pseudomonadota; Betaproteobacteria
Description: bacterial SSU rRNA
Rfam family: Bacterial small subunit ribosomal RNA
Source: RNAcentral